GUAAUAAUAGUAGUAGUAAUAGUAGUAACAGUAGUAAUAAUAGUAAUAAUAGUAGUCACCAUACUGUAUGGUGGUCCAACAAAUAUGAUAAUAUAAAUCGAAUGAUUUUUUUUUUAUCUGUAAACAAAUGUUUUAAAUUAUUUAUGAUAAGAACAUAUAAUAUAUUAUUAUACAAAAUAAAAGAACAAGAAAUAACAAUGUUAUAUUUAUUUUUAUAUAUACAAAAUAUAUGUCUUAAAAAAUUAAAAUAUUAUCAAUCGAAAACAUUUUAUAAAUGGUUUGAGACAAAUUUAUAUUAUUUUAUGACUGAUCAUACAUUUUUAGAUAAUAAACAUUAUAUUAUUAAUGAAAGUAUGAAAAGUACUUAUAAUUACAAACAGAAUACAAAAAACGAUUUGAAUAAAAAAUUAAAUUAUACUUUUUAUUUUUUAGUUAAUGCUUAUAAUUAUCAAGAGAUUGUUACGAUGAUUAACAACAGUGGGGAGGAAAAAUAUGAAAAAGGAAGUAGUGGCACAAAAAAUGAUGAAAAAGGAAAUGAUGGAAAAGGAAAUGAUGGAAAAGGAAAUGAUGGAANNNNNNNNNNAAAAGGAAAUGAUGGAAAAGGAAAUGAUGGAAAAGGAAAUGAUGGAAAAAAAAGUAAUGACCGAUCAGAAUUUAUUUUAACAAAAAAUGUAAUAAACAAUUUGUUUAGUAAUAAAGAUGUAUUGUAUAAUACGAAAGGUUACACUAAUUAUUGGAAUAAUAUCAGUAAAAGUGCUAAAAGUGGUCUUAUUACUAAUAUUUCAUCCAGUAUUGUAAAAACUGAUCACAUCCCUUAUCUUAUAAAUCCUUCUCCUUUUUUUUAUCAUUCCAUUUUAAGCAAUAAUAAAAUUACAAAGAUACAUUACAGUUUUUGUAUGGAGUAUUUUUUUAAUUUUUUAACUAUUCAUAAUUUAUUUUUAAAUAUAUUAAAAGAUGGUAAACAUAACACAAAUGUUAAUAUUCUAGAAUUUUUUUGGGGGGUAGAAAAUGAUACUUCUGUUGGUACUAGCACAAAUGAUACAAAUAUAAUGUUAAUUAUAUCAUACAUUUCAAACUUUUUUAUUUAUUUUUUAUAUGUUUGUACAAAAAUUAAUAGACAUAAUACAAGUAAAACAACUUUAAUUAACAACACAUAUUACGAUGCAUUGUCUAAAUUAAUUAAUAUCACUAUUGAAAAAAAUGAAAACUCAUUAAUCGUUUUAAAUAUAGAAAAUAUUAAUAGUAGUAUUAUGAAAGUUGAUAUUUUUUCAAAUAUUCAACAAAAGUUACUUAUAAAAAAAAAUGACAAAUCGUUACAUACUGAUACAUAUGAGUUUAUAGAAUCUAUAAGAAAUAAAAAAAAAGAAAAAAAAACAAACAAACAAAUAAUAAGUGAUAAUAUUUUUUGUAUUGAUAAUAAUAACACAAGUAACAAAAAUAAUAUAGUCCAUAACAAAAAAUCUCAAUAUAUGGAUUUAAUAUGUAAAGAAUAUAACAGUAACAAUUAUUAUUCAAAAUAUACACGGUAUUAUAAGAAUUGGUCUUGGAGAGGAAAAAAUCGUUUAUAUAUUUAUUAUUACAAUUUACUUUUAGAAAGAUGUCGUAAGAAUUAUAAUAUUUAUAACAGUAAUAAUGUCAGUAACAGUAGUAACCUUUUUUUUAUGAAACAAAUUUUAUAUAAUUUACCAUUUAUUAUUAAAAAAGAUGUAGCUCUUUUUUUUAAAAAAAAAAGAAGUAUAAAAAAUAGGAAAAAUAAAAACACUGACUGUUGUACAAAAAAAAAUAAUAUAUUUAGAAAAGUUAAAAAGGGAAUAACAUUUAAACAAGUAAAAAAAAAAGAAAUUUUAAAAAAUGUUGAAAAUGGUUUGGGGUUUACAUAUUUUGUUGAUUAUACAAAAGAUAAGAAAGAAACAAUAAAAUCUAUGUUUGACAAUUUUAAUAUUAUAAAGGUUUUAUGUAAAAGUGGUAGUAGUGGUAGUAAUAGUAGUAGUGGUAGUAAUAGUAGUAGUGGUAGUAGCAGUUUCAGCAGUAGUGGUAGACGAGGUGACAAAAAUAGGUAUAAUUUAUUAUUUAUACUUUUGUGGAAUAUUAAUCCUAAAAAUAUAUUAAGUGAUUAUUAUUAUUAUUAUUAUUAUUAUUAUUAUUAUUAUUAUUAUUAUGUGUUAACUAACUGUGUUUUAUCUAGAUUAUAUUACAACUACAACUAUUUUAAUUUUAUACAUGAUUAUACUAACAAUUAUUUUUUUAAUGGUUUUAAAAAAAAUGAGAAUUAUAAACAGAUUGAUAAAAAUGAUGAACAAUAUGGUAACAUUAGAAAUAAGGUUCCUUUCGACUUGUCAACUGGAAUUAUUAAUGAUAUUUGUAUGACUAAUUAUAAAAGUAAUAAUAAAAAGAAAAAAAAAACAAUAAUUACUACGGAAUGUUUAUAUAAAUUACUUUUUUUUCAAAUUCGUGAUAAUAAUUGUUGUUGGUAUGAUGAGAAAAACUAUUAUAACGAUAAAACAAAUAUAAAUAAAAAUAAAUUUUUAAAUGUUAAAAAAAGAAAUAAAGAAAAAAAAAAUAUUGGUUUAAAUAAUAAUAAAAUAUGUGGAAAAAAAAAACAUGUAGUAGUAGAUGAAUGUAAAAUGUUAGAUCAAGACAUUUAUACGUCAAUGGAAAAAACAGAUAGAACGGAAAAAGCAAACACAAUGGAAAA
Molecule: long non-coding RNA, 2695 nt
Filed under: Piliocolobus tephrosceles (Ugandan red Colobus)
Lineage: Eukaryota; Metazoa; Chordata; Mammalia; Primates; Cercopithecidae
Description: lncRNA (ENSPTEG00000007550.1)
Source: RNAcentral